Molecule: ribosomal RNA, 504 nt
Filed under: uncultured bacterium
Lineage: Bacteria
Description: partial 16S ribosomal RNA
Rfam family: Bacterial small subunit ribosomal RNA
Source: RNAcentral
GACGAACGCUGGCGGCGUGCUUAACACAUGCAAGUCGAACGGUGAAGCGCUUGCCUUUUUGGUGGGUGUGGAUGAGUGGCGAACGGGUGAGUAACACGUGAGUAACCUGCCCUCUUCUUCUGGAUAACCUCAUGAAAGUGGGGCUAAUACGGGGUAUUCCGGGUCUGUCGCAUGGCGGGUUUGGGAAAGAUUGCGCCUUUGGGUGUUUUCGGUGGGGGAUGGGCUCGCGGCCUAUCAGCUUGUUGGUGGGGUGAUGGCCUACCAAGGCGGUGACGGGUAGCCGGCCUGAGAGGGUGGACGGCCACACUGGGACUGAGACACGGCCCAGACUCCUGCGGGAGGCAGCAGUGGGGAAUAUUGCACAAUGGGCGAAAGCCUGAUGCAGCGACGCCGCGUGAGGGAUGGAGGCCUUCGGGUUGUGAACCUCUUUCGCCAGUGAAGCAGGCCUGCUCCUGUGUGGGUGGGUUGACGGUAGCUGGAUAAGAAGCGCCGGCUAACUACGUG